GCCUCAGACAUGCAAGUCGAACGCGAAAGUCCCCUUCGGGGGACAAGUAGAGUGGCGCACGGGUGAGUAACACGUAGGUAAUCUACCUUUGGAUGGGGAAUAACAACCGGAAACGGUUGCUAAUACCGCAUAACGCAGCGGCACCUAAUGGUGACAGUUGUUAAAGCGGGGAUCGAAAGACCUCGCGUCUGAAGAGGAGCCUGCGGCGGAUUAGCUAGUUGGUAAGGUAACGGCUUACCAAGGCGACGAUCCGUAGCCGGCCUGAGAGGGCGGUCGGCCACACUGACACUGACAUACGGGUCAGACUCCUACGGGAGGCAGCAGUCGGGAAUUUUGGGCAAUGGGCGAAAGCCUGACCCAGCAACGCCGCGUGAAGGAUGAAAUCCCUCGGGAUGUAAACUUCGCAAGAACGGGAAGAAUAAGUAGGGGAUAAUACCCCCUAUGAUGACGGUACCGUUUGUAAGCUCCGGCUAACUCCGUGCCAGCAGCCGCGGUAAUACGGGGGGAGCAAGCGUUGUUCGGAUUUACUGGGCGUAAAGGGCGCGUAGGCGGCCACCGCAAGUCAAUUGUGAAAUCUCCGGGCUUAACUCGGAAAGGUCAACUGAUACUACGGGGCUAGAGUGCGGAAGGGGCAACUGGAAUUCUUGGUGUAGCGGUGAAAUGCGUAGAUAUCAAGAGGAACACCUGCGGCGAAGGCGGGUUGCUGGGCCGACA
This 714-nucleotide ribosomal RNA is filed under the name uncultured soil bacterium. RNAcentral's name for it is "bacterial SSU rRNA". It matches the Rfam family "Bacterial small subunit ribosomal RNA", at positions 46 to 739 of the family's 1533-position model. The record is from RNAcentral.